This is a long non-coding RNA of Patella vulgata (common limpet), 633 nucleotides long. RefSeq lists it as uncharacterized. Lineage: Eukaryota; Metazoa; Mollusca; Gastropoda; Patellidae. The record is from RefSeq and is a predicted model, not a curated record. The transcript has 5 exons.
GUAUCAUCAAUGUGAUGACUCCAUCAUCUGUUGUGGGAUUUGGUGAAGCUUUUCUACAUUACAACGGGAGUACUCGCACGCCUGGCACUAAGAUGGACUGUAAAUGCAGAGUAACGUCGGUAGCAUCAACUGUUACCAUCACCGUGUAUCAGCUGAUCUUACAUCCAGAUACCUGCUGCCAGUUUAAUAUAUCCUCAAGCGAUACCAGUAUUCCUAGUGAUUGUCAAGCACAAUCUGGCGUUGAAUCGUACGCAACAGCCAGUAGAGUCAGCUCGGUACCCAUUGACGUUCAUAUGAAUAAUUUACUGGCAAGAACAGAUGAUGUCGUUAUUAUAAGGUUCAACAGUGGUAAAGGAGUGAAUGUUGACUGUGAUGGCUGUACGGAAAUACAAGAUACAGAAAACGAUGUGUGUAUUUAUCCUGUAGUCGGAGCAUUGACUGGAGAUGAUGGAAGUGAUACAAUAGCUAUUGCUGCUGGUGUAGUUGGUGGACUUCUUCUGCUAGCUCUGCUGGUGAUAGUCAUCUGGAGAUGUAAACGGUCCAAGUCGAAGCAGACGUUACCAACAGACUUCUAAAUUUGGACACAGAAAGGUGAAACAUUGUCCAUAAAAAUCAUUUCUAUCUGAAAGUCGG